AACGAACGCUGGCUGCAUGCCUAACACAUGCAAGUCGAACGAGACCUUCGGGUCUAGUGGCGCACGGGUGCGUAACGCGUGGGAACCUUCCUUUAGGUUCGGAAUAACUCAGAGAAAUUUGAGCUAAUACCGGAUGAUGUCUUCGGACCAAAGAUUUAUCGCCUUUAGAUGGGCCCGCGUUGGAUUAGCUAGUUGGUGGUGUAAAGGCCUACCAAGGCGACGAUCCAUAGCUGGUCUGAGAGGAUGAUCAGCCACACUGGGACUGAGACACGGCCCAGACUACUACGGGAGGCAGCAGUGGGGAAUAUUGGACAAUGGGCGAAAGCCUGAUCCAGCAAUGCCGCGCGAGUGAUGAAGGCCUUAGGGUUGUAAAGCUCUUUUACCCGAGAUGAUAAUGACAGUAUCGGGAGAAUAAGCUCCGGCUAACUCCGUG
RNAcentral lists this ribosomal RNA (433 nucleotides) under uncultured bacterium. RNAcentral's name for it is "partial 16S ribosomal RNA". It matches the Rfam family "Bacterial small subunit ribosomal RNA", at positions 29 to 507 of the family's 1533-position model. The record is from RNAcentral.